RNAcentral lists this long non-coding RNA (684 nucleotides) under Triticum aestivum (bread wheat). RNAcentral describes it as "long non-coding RNA (TAES_LNC006270)". The record is from RNAcentral. Lineage: Eukaryota; Viridiplantae; Streptophyta; Magnoliopsida; Poales; Poaceae.
UUUUGACUUAUUAUGAUUUAAGCUUAUAAGUAACUCCUGUUUGUCUGGCCUAUUUCAAUUGUUAUCGAUCCUGUUCUGUAAAGAUGUUUGUCUUGCCUUUUGUAGCUACCACUUCAAUAUAGCUGAUUCAGAGCUGCAUCAGCAUAAAGAAAAAAAUGCAGUAAAGCUGGUUUGUUGAGUAGUUGUGCAGCUUCUGCAGCUAUGUGAAGGUACGUUGUGCAUUUCUUUUGCUAGCUCACAGUGGCGUACAUAAUCUGUCCUCGUGUGUUGUAAUAUGUUCAUUAAUAUGUCGGGACCUAACAUUGAACAAAAUUUCCAGGAAAAAUGGGCGAAGAACCUAUAUAUCACCUCAAUCUGCUACUGGCGACCCGUGUGUUAGACGUAGACGGCAAGCUGAACUCUUGUGCCAAUUGUAAAGAAUCAUGCUCGGCUGUUUUGGUUGGUUGCUGUCUAUCUAUGAUCCAACUUUUGAUAAAAUGGACUCCGAAAUGAGAGCGGGGGAACAUCGGUGCGUUUUAAAGUCAUGCACCUGAAAUGCGACAUCGUUUUUCCUGCCGUCUGCUAGUUGUUGUUCUGGCUUGUUCUCGUUUUGUUGCAGUAAAGAACAUCGUAAACAGAGGUCCCUCUUAGUCUGUUUGUUAUCUAGUUGUCCCAACAACUUAAGGCAAAAUUGCAAUCCCAAAG